Puntigrus tetrazona (Sumatra barb) is the source of this 111-nucleotide long non-coding RNA. RefSeq lists it as uncharacterized. The record is from RefSeq and is a predicted model, not a curated record. Lineage: Eukaryota; Metazoa; Chordata; Actinopteri; Cypriniformes; Cyprinidae. The transcript has 4 exons.
AUUUAAAGUUCUCUGGAGGCUCACAGUUUUUGUCGAUUCUAUCCUAUGCAUUUAGAACCACGUCUAAUGUCUCUUUAUUUGUGUUAUUGUAUAAACACAUUGUCACUUUUU